This 1169-nucleotide long non-coding RNA is filed under the name Marmota monax (woodchuck). The record is from RNAcentral. Lineage: Eukaryota; Metazoa; Chordata; Mammalia; Rodentia; Sciuridae.
UUCUGUAUUCGUAGAGUAUCUUUUAAGUUUGCAUUAAAAGUGAAACUUCAUUUUUCUUUCUUAGAAUAGAGGUUUUCCACACAGUCACCCUUUAACACAGAUUAUCUGGUUGUAUGUCACUUUGCCCACUGUGUUGCAGUCAAAUCAGGCGGCUUUUGGAGACCUAGCCCUCACCCCAAUUGCCCAGCAUUGCCGCGCCGCACAGCUCCAGGGACUGGUAGCCAGAAGGGUGGUCUUCACGGAGGUGCUCACCAGGUGGCGGCCCACCCAAGCCCAGGGGAGUACUGAUUUGCCUCUGGAAGUCUGCUCCGCACUCCAGCAGUCCACAAGUUCUGAGCCAGAAAGACCUGGACCUAUGGUGGUCAUAGGGUAAGGCUCAGGUUUCGGGAUGCCUGUCACACAGGCAGGGGCGCUGCUUUGUAGCCUCAAGUCCUGCACCCUGGAAGAAAGGCGUCCCACAAGCUCGACUUUUCUUCCGCGAGCCACAGAGAGCCUUUUGUUCCGAAUCAUAGGACACUUUGCAAGUUAAAAUUCACAUCAGGAAUUCAUGUGGCUGGGGGCUAGCAGGACAGGUUGGAAGACUCAACCCAUAUCAACUUCUACCUUCCUCUGAAGUUUUUCUAAUUUUCAAAAUAAAGAAGUUGGCUCCCGCUCGCUCCUCCUCUCCAUUUCUUUCUCUACCUCCCCAGCCCCGCCUCUCUCUUUCCAUGUAGUAAUUAUGUUUGCGAUUGUCUUCUUUGUCGAACAUAUAAGGCACCAACAUAUUGGUUAAACUAGAUUUCGCCGUUUUCAUGUCUACAAGGCGAGGACGUUCUAAAUGCACCCUCUCCGCGCCCAAAACUUGUCCUCUUGUCCUGAAGUAAAGGGUAUUGAUGAACGAGGGAGGAGCAGGGUAAUUGAGGAACAUAUGAGGGAGAUCUGUUUCUGUUUGGAUCAGACUUGGUUUUAUCUAUUAGAAGUACCGUGAUCAGGAUGUUUAAUGACCAUGGACUUUACACUUAAAGUUGUAUAAUCAGAGUUCAAAGGAGAAACAUCUGUCAUUUUGCCUUGGUAUCUAUGCAUAAGGAAGUCUUUCCCUGAAACGUGAAAGCUCAAUGUGUGAGAUGCACACAUAACACCUUCAUAAAAAUAUGCAGCUGUGUCUUUAAGACAUACCUAGUGAAUCAGCA